UACGUAGGGGGCGAGCGUUGUCCGGAAUUAUUGGGCGUAAAGAGCUCGUAGGCGGUUUGUCGCGUCUGGUGUGAAAAUCCAGGGCUUAACCCUGGACCUGCAUCGGGUACGGGCAGACUAGAGUGCGGUAGGGGAGAUCGGAAUUCCUGGUGUAGCGGUGAAAUGCGCAGAUAUCAGGAGGAACACCGGUGGCGAAGGCGGAUCUCUGGGCCGUAACUGACGCUGGAGGAGCGAAAGCAUGGGGAGCGAACAGG
RNAcentral lists this ribosomal RNA (254 nucleotides) under uncultured bacterium. RNAcentral describes it as "partial 16S ribosomal RNA". It matches the Rfam family "Bacterial small subunit ribosomal RNA", at positions 524 to 776 of the family's 1533-position model. The record is from RNAcentral.